RNAcentral lists this ribosomal RNA (457 nucleotides) under uncultured bacterium. RNAcentral describes it as "partial 16S ribosomal RNA". It matches the Rfam family "Bacterial small subunit ribosomal RNA", at positions 28 to 523 of the family's 1533-position model. The record is from RNAcentral.
GAUGAACGCUGGCGGCGUGCCUAAUACAUGCAAGUCGUACGGAAAGGCCCUUCGGGGUACUCGAGUGGCGGACGGCUGAGUAACGCGUGGGAACGUGCCCCAAAGCGAGGGAUAACGCACCGAAAGGUGUGCUAAUACCGCAUAUGGUCUUCGGAUUAAAGCUUCGGCGCUUUGGGAGCGGCCCGCGUACGAUUAGAUAGUUGGUGAGGUAAUGGCUCACCAAGUCGACGAUCGUUAGCUGGUCUGAGAGGAUGAUCAGCCAGACUGGGACUGAGACACGGCCCAGACUCCUACGGGAGGCAGCAGUAAGGAAUCUUCCACAAUGGGGGCAACCCUGAUGGAGCAACGCCGCGUGCAGGAUGAAGGUUUUCGGAUCGUAAACUGCUUUUAUAAGUGAAGAAUAUGACGGUAACUUAUAAAUAAGGAUCGGCUAACUACGUGCCAGCAGCCGCCGUAA